Molecule: ribosomal RNA, 465 nt
Filed under: Vreelandella stevensii
Lineage: Bacteria; Pseudomonadati; Pseudomonadota; Gammaproteobacteria; Oceanospirillales; Halomonadaceae
Description: partial 16S ribosomal RNA
Rfam family: Bacterial small subunit ribosomal RNA
Source: RNAcentral
CCUACGGGAGGCAGCAGUGGGGAAUAUUGGACAAUGGGGGCAACCCUGAUCCAGCCAUGCCGCGUGUGUGAAGAAGGCCCUCGGGUUGUAAAGCACUUUCAGUGAGGAAGAACGCCUGGUGGUUAAUACCCAUCAGGAAAGACAUCACUCACAGAAGAAGCACCGGCUAACUCCGUGCCAGCAGCCGCGGUAAUACGGAGGGUGCGAGCGUUAAUCGGAAUUACUGGGCGUAAAGCGCGCGUAGGUGGCUUGAUAAGCCGGUUGUGAAAGCCCCGGGCUCAACCUGGGAACGGCAUCCGGAACUGUCAAGCUAGAGUGCAGGAGAGGAAGGUAGAAUUCCCGGUGUAGCGGUGAAAUGCGUAGAGAUCGGGAGGAAUACCAGUGGCGAAGGCGGCCUUCUGGACUGACGCUGACACUGAGGUGCGAAAGCGUGGGUAGCAAACAGGAUUAGAUACCCCGGUAGUC